CCUUUUGUAUAAUGGGUCAGCGACUUAUAUUCUGUAGCAAGGUUAACCGAAUAGGGGAGCCGAAGGGAAACCGAGUCUUAACUGGGCGUUAAGUUGCAGGGUAUAGACCCGAAACCCGGUGAUCUAGCCAUGGGCAGGUUGAAGGUUGGGUAACACUAACUGGAGGACCGAACCGACUAAUGUUGAAAAAUUAGCGGAUGACUUGUGGCUGGGGGUGAAAGGCCAAUCAAACCGGGAGAUAGCUGGUUCUCCCCGAAAGCUAUUUAGGUAGCGCCUCGUGAACUCAUCUCCGGGGGUAGAGCACUGUUUCGGCAAGGGGGUCAUCCCGACUUACCAACCCGAUGCAAACUGCGAAUACCGGAGAAUGUUAUCACGGGAGACACACGGCGGGUGCUAACGUCCGUCGUGAAGAGGGAAACAACCCAGACCGCCAGCUAAGGUCCCAAAGUCAUGGUUAAGUGGGAAACGAUGUGGGAAGGCCCAGACAGCCAGGAUGUUGGCUUAGAAGCAGCCAUCAUUUAAAGAAAGCGUAAUAGCUCACUGGUCGAGUCGGCCUGCGCGGAAGAUGUAACGGGGCUAAACCAUGCACCGAAGCUGCGGCAGCGACGCUGAUGCGUUGUUGGGUA
RNAcentral lists this ribosomal RNA (626 nucleotides) under Escherichia coli. Its description in RNAcentral is "partial 23S ribosomal RNA". It matches the Rfam family "Bacterial large subunit ribosomal RNA", at positions 604 to 1230 of the family's 2925-position model. The record is from RNAcentral. Lineage: Bacteria; Pseudomonadati; Pseudomonadota; Gammaproteobacteria; Enterobacterales; Enterobacteriaceae.